Molecule: ribosomal RNA, 509 nt
Filed under: uncultured bacterium
Lineage: Bacteria
Description: bacterial SSU rRNA
Rfam family: Bacterial small subunit ribosomal RNA
Source: RNAcentral
GACGAACGCUGGCGGCGUGGAUUAGGCAUGCAAGUCGAACGGUAUCAUCCUUUCGGGGGUGAGAGAGUGGCGAACUGGUGAGUAACACGUAGGUUAUCUACCCUCAAGACGGGGACAACCCAGGGAAACUUGGGCUAAUACCGGAUGUGAGCAACUUUUAGUUGUUUGAAAGGUGGCGUAAGCUGUCGCUUGGGGAUGAGCCUGCGUCCUAUUAGUUAGUUGGUGAGGUAACGGCUCACCUAGGCAAUGAUAGGUAGGCGGCCUUAACGGGUGGUCGCCCACACUGGGAUUGAGAUACGGCCCAGACUCCUACGGGAGGCAGCAGUCGAGAAUAGUCUACAAUGGUCGGAAGACUGAUAGUGCGACGCCGCGUGAACGAUGAAUCCCUUCGGGGUGUAAAGUUCUUUUAUAUGUGAGCAGUGCUUCUUAUAUUAACAGUAUGGGGAGAGAGAUAUUAGCAUAUGAAUAAGCAACGGCUAACUCCGUGCCAGCAGCCGCGGUAAACUGUA